Molecule: long non-coding RNA, 788 nt
Organism: Leptidea sinapis
Lineage: Eukaryota; Metazoa; Arthropoda; Insecta; Lepidoptera; Pieridae
Exons: 4
Source: RefSeq, a predicted model, not a curated record
UGGAACUUGUAAGUAUAAACUAAUAUCGUCAAAUGACAAAUGACAUUAAUUGUCUUUCGUAAUUCACGUCAACACAUAUUUAUCUUAUCAAAGUAAAACCAUAAUACUACUUUACAUGUUCUUUCCUACUACCUAGUUAUUAAUUAUUUUUAUUGAAGAACUUUAUUUUAAUUACAUUACAAUGGAUAAAGUUAAAAAGAGGGCUCCUAAUUAUACCGAAAAUGAGAAACAAAACUUGUUAGAGCUUGUGGCGAAGUACAAAGACAUAGUUGAAUGUAAGAGGACAGGAUCUUUUUACAUCAAUAAAAAACAAAUUGCCUGGGCUAAGAUUGCCGAUGAAUACAAUAGUUUUUGUACUACCGGUCCAAGAAAUAUGAGAACGCUGAAGCAUUUUUAUAAUAAUAUUAAGCAUCAUGCCAGAAAAGUUUCAGCCAUGGAGAAUAAACAAAGAUAUCUUUCAGAAGAGGCACAUACAAUAGAAGGACCCGAUAACUUAGAAACAAUGCACAAUGAAAAUGUGGAAAUAUUAAUAGAUAUAACAAACCAACCAACCACAUAAUUGGAAAUAGUGUGGGUAUUACUUGCAUACAUACAUAAAUACCAUUAUAUUCUGGUUUUUCAUGGGAAUUUAAACAUAAUGCAACACAAUUAGUUUUAAGAGCUGAGUUACAAAUACCACUUCCUUUCUGAAUCCUACUUGCACAUCACAUAUUAUUUAUCAUGCACCAUUUAUUUUGGUAUUAUUUUUAAAUAGAUAAAACAUAAGAAUAUAUUUAAAAAAAAAUCAA